GCAGUCGAGCGAAUGAUUGGGAGCUUGCUCCCAUGAUUUAGCGGCGGACGGGUGAGUAACACGUGGGCAACCUACCUGUAAGACUGGGAUAACUUCGGGAAACCGGAGCUAAUACCGGAUAAUUUCUUUUCUCGCAUGAGAAGAGAUGGAAAGACGGUUUCGGCUGUCACUUACAGAUGGGCCCGCGGCGCAUUAGCUAGUUGGUGAGGUAACGGCUCACCAAGGCCACGAUGCGUAGCCGACCUGAGAGGGUGAUCGGCCACACUGGGACUGAGACACGGCCCAGACUCCUACGGGAGGCAGCAGUAGGGAAUCUUCCGCAAUGGACGAAAGUCUGACGGAGCAACGCCGCGUGAGCGAAGAAGGCCUUCGGGUCGUAAAGCUCUGUUGUUAGGGAAGAACAAGUACCAGAGUAACUGCUGGUACCUUGACGGUACCUAACCAGAAAGCCACGGCUAACUACGUGCCAGCAGCCGCGGUAAUACGUAGGUGGCAAGCGUUGUCCGGAAUUAUUGGGCGUAAAGCGCGCGCAGGUGGUUCCUUAAGUCUGAUGUGAAAGCCCACGGCUCAACCGUGGAGGGUCAUUGGAAACUGGGGAACUUGAGUGCAGAAGAGGAAAGUGGAAUUCCACGUGUAGCGGUGAAAUGCGUAGAGAUGUGGAGGAAC
This 666-nucleotide ribosomal RNA is filed under the name Bacillus cihuensis. RNAcentral's name for it is "bacterial SSU rRNA". It matches the Rfam family "Bacterial small subunit ribosomal RNA", at positions 57 to 707 of the family's 1533-position model. The record is from RNAcentral. Lineage: Bacteria; Bacillati; Bacillota; Bacilli; Caryophanales; Bacillaceae.